CCGGGUUGCGGACAGUGUCUGGUGGGUAGUUUGACUGGGGCGGUCUCCUCCUAAAGAGUAACGGAGGAGCACGAAGGUUGGCUAAUCCUGGUCGGACAUCAGGAGGUUAGUGCAAUGGCAUAAGCCAGCUUGACUGCGAGCGUGACGGCGCGAGCAGGUGCGAAAGCAGGUCAUAGUGAUCCGGUGGUUCUGAAUGGAAGGGCCAUCGCUCAACGGAUAAAAGGUACUCCGGGGAUAACAGGCUGAUACCGCCCAAGAGUUCAUAUCGACGGCGGUGUUUGGCACCUCGAUGUCGGCUCAUCACAUCCUGGGGCUGAAGUAGGUCCCAAGGGUAUGGCUGUUCGCCAUUUAAAGUGGUACGCGAGCUGGGUUUAGAACGUCGUGAGACAGUUCGGUCCCUAUCUGCCGUGGGCGCUGGAGAACUGAGGGGGGCUGCUCCUAGUACGAGAGGACCGGAGUGGACGCAUCACUGGUGUUCGGGUUGUCAUGCCAAUGGCACUGCCCGGUAGCUAAAUGCGGAAGAGAUAAGUGCUGAAAGCAUCUAAGCACGAAACUUGCCCCGAGAUGAGUUCUCCCUGACUCCUUGAGAGUCCUGAAGGAACGUUGAAGACGACGACGUUGAUAGGCCGGGUGUGUAAGCGCAGCGAUGCGUUGAGCUAACCGGUACUAAUGAACCGUGAGGCUUAACCUUACAACGCCGAAGCUGUU
Molecule: ribosomal RNA, 708 nt
Filed under: Escherichia coli
Lineage: Bacteria; Pseudomonadati; Pseudomonadota; Gammaproteobacteria; Enterobacterales; Enterobacteriaceae
Description: partial 23S ribosomal RNA
Rfam family: Bacterial large subunit ribosomal RNA
Source: RNAcentral